RNAcentral lists this ribosomal RNA (497 nucleotides) under uncultured bacterium. RNAcentral's name for it is "partial 16S ribosomal RNA". It matches the Rfam family "Bacterial small subunit ribosomal RNA", at positions 28 to 507 of the family's 1533-position model. The record is from RNAcentral.
GAUGAACGCUGGCGGCGUGCCUAAUACAUGCAAGUCGAGCGAACGGACGAGAAGCUUGCUUCUCUGAUGUUAGCGGCGGACGGGCGAGUAACACGUGGAUAACCUACCUAUAAGACUGGGAUAACUUCGGGAAAACGGAGCUAAUACCGGAUAAUAUUUUGAACCGCAUGGUUCAAAAGUGAAAGACGGUCUUGCUGUCUGUUAUAGACGGAUCCGCGCUGGAUUAGCUAGUUGGUAAGGUAACGGCAUACCAAGGCAACGAUGCAUAGCCGACCUGAGAGGAUGAUCGGCCACACUGGAACUGAGACACGGUCCAGACUCCUACGGGAGGCAGCAGUAGGGAAUCUUCCGCAAUGGGCGAAAGCCUGACGGAGCCACGCCGCGUGAGUGAUGAAGGUCUUCGGAUCGUAAAGCUCUGUUAUUAGGGAAGAACAUAUGUGUAAUUAACUGUCCACAUCUUGACGGUACCUAAUCAGAAAGCCACGGCUAACUUCGUG